Molecule: ribosomal RNA, 401 nt
Filed under: uncultured Gammaproteobacteria bacterium
Lineage: Bacteria; Pseudomonadati; Pseudomonadota; Gammaproteobacteria
Description: bacterial SSU rRNA
Rfam family: Bacterial small subunit ribosomal RNA
Source: RNAcentral
AAUGGGCGAAAGCCUGAUCCAGCCAUGCCGCGUGUGUGAAGAAGGUCUUCGGAUUGUAAAGCACUUUAAGUUGGGAGGAAGGGCAGUAAGUUAAUACCUUGCUGUUUUGACGUUACCGACAGAAUAAGCACCGGCUAACUCUGUGCCAGCAGCCGCGGUAAUACAGAGGGUGCAAGCGUUAAUCGGAAUUACUGGGCGUAAAGCGCGCGUAGGUGGUUUGUUAAGUUGGAUGUGAAAGCCCCGGGCUCAACCUGGGAACUGCAUCCAAAACUGGCAAGCUAGAGUACGGUAGAGGGUGGUGGAAUUUCCUGUGUAGCGGUGAAAUGCGUAGAUAUAGGAAGGAACACCAGUGGCGAAGGCGACCACCUGGACUGAAGGUGAGCUGGGGAGCAAACAGGAUU